This 366-nucleotide ribosomal RNA is filed under the name uncultured bacterium. RNAcentral describes it as "partial 16S ribosomal RNA". It matches the Rfam family "Bacterial small subunit ribosomal RNA", at positions 338 to 696 of the family's 1533-position model. The record is from RNAcentral.
CCUACGGGAGGCAGCAGUGGGGAAUAUUGCGCAAUGGGCGAAAGCCUGACGCAGCGACGCCGCGUGCAGGAUGAAGGUCUUCGGAUCGUAAACCUCUGUCAGCAGGGAAGAACGGUCACUUUGCUAAUCAGCAGUGCAUUUACGGUACCUGCAAAGGCAGCACCGUCUAACUCCGUGCCAGCAGCCGCGGUAAUACGGAGGGUGCGAGCGUUAAUCGGAAUUACUGGGCGUAAGGCGCGCGUAGGCGGUAUGUCAAGUCAAGGGUGAAAUCCCCGCGCUCAACGUGGGACCUGCCUUUGAAACUGGCAAACUGGAGUGUGCGAGAGGAUGGUGGAAUUCCAGGUGUAGGAGUGAAAUCCGUAGAUA